Molecule: long non-coding RNA, 448 nt
Organism: Symphalangus syndactylus (siamang)
Lineage: Eukaryota; Metazoa; Chordata; Mammalia; Primates; Hylobatidae
Source: RefSeq, a predicted model, not a curated record
ACCAAACAAUGUCAUCCCGGAGCAACCCCCUCUAUCUCACACUAACCAGAUCUAAAAAAAACCCUCUCAAAUAUGUAAUCUAUUAUUUUCAGAAGCCCUAAGAGAAAGGCAAAUAAUCUCUUCUCUAUAGUAACUGAGGGGAAAACAGUUUACCAUAUUUGUUCUGAAAUAACAAAACCCAAGGAGGAACAACUCUCUCUGAGGGAGAUGAGGAAUUUGAAGCCAGACUCUUGGGCUGUUAACGUAUGGCUAAGUGGUGAUGUGGUGACAACCUUGAAUGCUAGUCCUGGAGGAAAAACCACCAGCAGCUGGCGCCAUGGGAGGCUUUGCUUAGGGGACACAGCCGGGUUCUGCCUGGAUGCUGCAUCCCAAGGGAGGCAUUGAGGUGCAGCUGUGAGGACUCCAAACCCCAUGUCCAGAAGGAUGAGUAAAAACACAAUUCCCUGCC